This 775-nucleotide ribosomal RNA is filed under the name uncultured Neocallimastigales. Its description in RNAcentral is "partial large subunit ribosomal RNA". It matches the Rfam family "Eukaryotic large subunit ribosomal RNA", at positions 23 to 634 of the family's 3401-position model. The record is from RNAcentral. Lineage: Eukaryota; Fungi; Neocallimastigomycota; Neocallimastigomycetes; Neocallimastigales.
AGAGAGAGACAUGCGCGCAUAUCAAUAAGCGGAGGAAAAGAAACUAACAAGGAUUCCCUUAGUAACGGCGAGUGAAGCGGGAAGAGCUCAAAUUUGAAAUCUUCAAGGUUUUACCUUGCGAAUUGUAGUUUAAAGAAGUGUUUUCUGUUGAAGUUUUGGUAAAAGUUCUUUGGAAUAGGACAUCAUAGAGGGUGAGAAUCCCGUAUUUGACCAUUAUUUUCAGCUUUGUGAUACACUUUCAAAGAGUCUCGGAUUGUUUGGGAAUGCAGUCCAAAAUGGGUGGUAAAUUUCAUCUAAAGCUAAAUAUUGGCGAGAGACCGAUAGCGAACAAGUACCGUGAGGGAAAGAUGAAAAGAACUUUGAAAAGAGAGUUAAACAGUACGUGAAAUUGUCAAAAGGGAAGCGUUUGACACCAGUGUUGUUUUCUCGAAAAUCAAUUAAAAAUGGCUCGAUUUUGUAUUGCUGAGACCUUAAAAGCUCACUGUACAUUUUUCGUGUCUUUUUUAAUGCACUUUUCGUUUAACAAGUCAACAUCAGUUUCUUUUGUUGUAAAAGGGUCAUUGGAAGGUGGCUUUCUUUUCGGAGAAAGUGUUUAUAGCCUUUGGCCUCUGCAAUCGAAGAGACUGAGGUCUGCAGCGUAGACUCUUCGGGGUUAGAUACAUUUGUGCUAAGUUAUAGCUUUUUAUAGACAACUUGUUGACUAUAAUUAGUCUUGUAGCUUACUCGCUUAUGCUAUUUUACCUACGCUUAGGAUGUUGAAGAUGUAGCACAUCAU